RNAcentral lists this ribosomal RNA (609 nucleotides) under uncultured bacterium. Its description in RNAcentral is "bacterial SSU rRNA". The stretch from base 1 to 520 matches the Rfam family "Bacterial small subunit ribosomal RNA", at positions 338 to 873 of the family's 1533-position model. The record is from RNAcentral.
CCUACGGGAGGCAGCAGUGGGGAAUCUUGCGCAAUGGGCGAAAGCCUGACGCAGCAACGCCGCGUGCGGGAAGAAGGCUUUCGGGCUGUAAACCGCUUUCAGCAGGAACGAAAAUGACGGUACCUGCAGAAGAAGGAGCGGCCAACUAUGUGCCAGCAGCCGCGGUGAUACAUAGGCUUCAAGCGUUGUCCGGAUUUAUUGGGCGUAAAGAGUUCGUAGGCGGUCGAGUAAGUCGGGUGUGAAAAUUCUGGGCUCAACCCAGAGACGCCACCCGAUACUGCUUAACUUGAGUUCGAUAGGGGAGUGGGGAAUUCCUAGUGUAGCGGUGAAAUGCGCAGAUAUUAGGAGGAACACCGGUGGCGAAGGCGCCACUCUGGAUCGAUACUGACGCUGAGGAACGAAAGCAUGGGUAGCAAACAGGAUUAGAUACCCUGGUAGUCCAUGCCGUAAACGGUGGGCACUAGGUGUGGGAUUCUAUUAACGAAUUCCGCGCCGUCGCUAACGCAUUAAGUGCCCCGCCUGGGGGAGGUACGGUCGCGAGACGUAAACGUUAAAGUAAGUUAGUAACGGUCGUGAGACGUGCCGAACGGACGACGACGAGGGAGGAGG